GACGAACGCUGGCGGCGUGCUUAACACAUGCAAGUCGAACGGAAAGGCCCUGCUUUUGUGGGGUGCUCGAGUGGCGAACGGGUGAGUAACACGUGAGUAGUCUGCCCUUGACUUUGGGAUAACUUCAGGAAACUGGGGCUAAUACCGGAUAGGAGCUCCUGCUGCAUGGUGGGGGUUGGAAAGUUUCGGCGGUUGGGGAUGGACUCGCGGCUUAUCAGCUUGUUGGUGGGGUAGUGGCUUACCAAGGCUUUGACGGGUAGCCGGCCUGAGAGGGUGACCGGCCACAUUGGGACUGAGAUACGGCCCAGACUCCUACGGGAGGCAGCAGUGGGGAAUAUUGCACAAUGGGCGGAAGCCUGAUGCAGCAACGCCGCGUGCGGGAUGACGGCCUUCGGGUUGUAAACCGCUUUCGCCUGUGACGAAGCGUGAGUGACGGUAAUGGGUAAAGAAGCACCGGCUAACUACGUG
Molecule: ribosomal RNA, 468 nt
Filed under: uncultured bacterium
Lineage: Bacteria
Description: partial 16S ribosomal RNA
Rfam family: Bacterial small subunit ribosomal RNA
Source: RNAcentral